GAUGAACGCUGGCGGCGUGCCUAAUACAUGCAAGUCGAGCGAACAGACGAGGAGCUUGCUCCUCUGACGUUAGCGGCGGACGGGUGAGUAACACGUGGAUAACCUACCUAUAAGACUGGGAUAACUUCGGGAAACCGGAGCUAAUACCGGAUAAUAUAUUGAACCGCAUGGUUCAAUAGUGAAAGACGGUUUUGCUGUCACUUAUAGAUGGAUCCGCGCCGCAUUAGCUAGGUGGUAAGGUAACGGCUUACCAAGGCAACGAUGCGUAGCCGAGCUGAGAGGGUGAUCGGCCACACUGGAACUGAGACACGGUCCAGACUCCUACGGGAGGCAGCAGUAGGGAAUCUUCCGCAAUGGGCGAAAGCCUGACGGAGCAACGCCGCGUGAGUGAUGAAGGUCUUCGGAUCGUAAAACUCUGUUAUUAGGGAAGAACAAAUGUGUAAGUAACUAUGCACGUCUUGACGGUACCUAAUCAGAAAGCCACGGCUAACUACGUG
This 497-nucleotide ribosomal RNA is filed under the name uncultured bacterium. Its description in RNAcentral is "partial 16S ribosomal RNA". It matches the Rfam family "Bacterial small subunit ribosomal RNA", at positions 28 to 507 of the family's 1533-position model. The record is from RNAcentral.